UCACAUUUAAAACUCAUGGAACACAAAGUCAUCACUCUGAUAAAGAAAGAGCUGAAGAGGUUUAGGAAGCUCCUGAGUCCAGAUUACCCAGCAUGCACUGAGAGGGAGGUGGAGGAUGAGGAGGAUCUGCACAGUGUCAGAGAUGGAGCGCUGAAGAUCACACUGCACGUCCUGAAGAACAUGAACCACACAGAUCUCGCUAACACACUGCACAACAAACUCGCCUCUGUGUAUCAGCCAAAGUUGAAGUCCAAGCUGAGAGAGAAGUUUAAAAGAAUUAAUGAAGGAAUCUCACAGCAUGGAAGCUCAGCACUUCUGAAUGAGAUCUACACUGAGCUCUACAUCACAGAGGGUUGGAGUGGAGACGUCAAUAAUGAACAUGAGGUGAGACAGAUUGAGGCAGCGUCCAGGAGACCAGCAACACAGGAGAAACCCAUCAAAUGUAAUGAGAUCUUUAAAGACAAGUCCAUCAGAACUGUGCUGACUAAAGGAGUUGCUGGAAUUGGAAAAACAGUCUCUGUGCAGAAGUUCAUUCUGGACUGGGCUGAAGGAGAAGUAAAUCAGGACGUCACCUUCAUGUUUCCACUUCCCUUUAGAGAGCUGAAUCUGAUGAAGCAGCAAAAUCUCAGUCUGAUGAAACUUCUUCAUCACUUUUUCCCAGAAAUAAGAAAACUAGAAUCAAUAGACUGUGACUUCUACAAAGUGGUGUUGAUUUUUGAUGGUCUGCAUGAGUGUCGACUUCCUCUAAAUUUCCAGAAGAAUGAGAGAUUGUGUGAUGUGACAGAGUCAGCCUCAGUGGAUGUACUGCUGACGAACCUCAUCAAGGGGAAUCUGCUUCCCUCUGCUCUCCUCUGGAUAACCACAAGACCAGGAGCAGCCAAUCAGAUCCCUCAAGGCCUUACAGAGUGAGAAUGGACACCUGGACCUGUUCCUCCACUUCCUUCUGGGUCUCUCACUGGAGACCAAUCAAACUCUUUUACGAGACUUAAUGCCACAGACAGGAAGCAGAUCUCACAGCAAACAGGAAACGGUGAAGUACAUCAAGGAGAAGAUCAGGGAGAAUCCAUCUCCAGAGAAAUCCAUCAAUCUGUUCCACUGUCUGAAUGAACUGAAUGAUCAUUCUCUAGUGCAGGAAGUACAAACUUACCUGAACAGAGGAGGUUACAGUCGUCUCAGUGGAACCAGACUCUCUCCUGCUCAGUGGUCAGCUCUGGUGUUUGUGUUACUGACCUCAGAACAGGAGCUGGAUGUGUUUGAUUUGAGGAAAUAUGAUCCAUCACAUGAAUGUCUUCUGAGGCUGCUGCCAGUGGUCAAAGCCUCCAGAAAAGCUGAUCUGUGUCGGUGUGAUCUGACAGAGGAAAGCUGUAGAGUUCUGUCCUGCAAGAUUCAGGAGUGAAUCUGCUCUCUGAUGGACUGAAGAAUCCACACUGUACACUGGAGAUACUGAGAGAUAUUAUUGAUGUGAGGAACAAAGCUGAGGUCAGAGUCGACUAGCUGUAGAGUUCUGUCCUCAGUUCUCAGCUCAAACUCCUCCAGUCUGAGAGAACUGGACCUGAGUAACAAUAAACUGCAGGAUUCAGGAGUGAAGCUGCUCUCUGAUGUACUGAAGAAUCCACACUGUACACUGGAGAAACUGAGGAUGUGGUACUGCAGUAUUACAGAUAAAGGUUGUGCUGCUCUGGCUUCAGCUCUGAGGUCAAACUCCUCAUCACAUCUGAGAGAACUGGAUCUGUACUAUAAUAAUCCAGGAGAAUCAGGAGUGAAGCUGCUCUCUGAUCUACUGAAGGAUCCACACUGUAAACUGGAGACACUACACAUUAACCAUAAGACACUCACCAGGUCUGGUUUAUGACAGGAGUCUCUCCUCAGACCUUUUUUCCAGGAUAAAGCAGUUAUGGUGGUGAAGCGUUAGAACACGUCCCACAUUUCCAGCAGUUUGGGAGCUGAAUCAUUCAUAUUCAGAUGUAGAAGAUCCAUAACAAUAACUGUGACUGAUCACAUCCUUUUAUCCUCUCAGCUACAACUUCACACUUUAACAUCUUUUACAAUCCAAAGUCAAAUCCUUCAGCAUCUACACACAACACAGAGAUAUCAUCACAUCAUCACACUGAUUACACAAAUACACAUCCAUGUGUUACAGAUGUUUAGAGAUUAUUUUUACCUCUUUACUUAUGUCGCUUUGUAGAAGCCAACAUUCUGUUUUCCUAUUUAAGUUUAGACAAAAAUGUAUAAAAUUUAAUGCGGCCUAGGGCUUUCAAGCCACAUGCACCAAAUUCGGAUAUGUUUUAGUCCCUGGUCUGAGGUUUGUUGUUCUUACUUUUCUAAGCGAUCCGAGUACCGGUACUUCCGGUACCGGGUCUCAAAUUGGCCUUUUUUCCCAUAGACUCCCAUUAUAUACUUUGGAGGUUUAUAACUCGGCACACUUUUGAACUAUCUAUACCAAACUCGGCCAAACUCUGAACAAAGUUUUAAGUUGGUGUACCGACUAGUCUUUUGGUUGUGCCGCAGCCCCGCCCCCAAAAUAUGCAAAAUCAAAAAACUUUUUAGAACAUGGACAUGUGACAUAUCAAAACACUCAGAACAAUGAGGGCAAUUCUGAUGACGUCACAUGACGUCACGUGAUGCACGUGAAAAUAAAAAACUUUGCACAACAUGGGCAUGUGAUAUAUCAAAACACUCAGCCCAAUGAGGGGAACUUCCUCAGGAAAAUGGUGGCGCCUCUCAGCGAACUUUUAUUUCAAAACGACCUUCGAACGUUUUCAGUGGAUUUACUGCUAGUUUUCCCCGGAAGGAGGAAAAAGAAAUUGUGAGUGAGCGGAAGUUGAAACUGUUUUUUUCUGUUUUUCCCCACAUUAUUCUGUCAAUACGGCAGAAGAAGGCCUGGACUGUUGCAUCUAAAUUUCAUUCAUUCUGGACGAUUGUUUUUUUCCCCCCUUUUUAAUUCAGACUGGUAUUUGAAGAAACUACUGAACCUAUUGGUGUUUGAACUACAUAUUGACAGUUGAAUUGGGUUUUUUUUCCCUUUUGUCAUUUAUUCAGUCUUGAUUUAAAGAUGAUGUCUUUUGGGUGAUACAUUUGAAAUGUUUUUGCAAUAUUUUUAUUUAUUGUUGAAUUAAAUUACACAUUCAAAGUUAAA
Tachysurus vachellii is the source of this 3136-nucleotide RNA transcript. It is a transcript of the gene named NLR family CARD domain-containing protein 3-like, with no coding region annotated. The transcript has 6 exons. The record is from RefSeq and is a predicted model, not a curated record. NCBI's taxonomy places the organism in Eukaryota, Metazoa, Chordata, Actinopteri, Siluriformes, Bagridae.